UACGUAGGGCGCAAGCGUUGUCCGGAAUUAUUGGGCGUAAAGAGCUCGUAGGUGGUUUGUCGCGUCUGUCGUGAAAGCCCAUGGCUUAACUGUGGGUCUGCGGUGGAUACGGGCAUCACUGGAGUUCGGCAGGGGAGACUGGAAUUCCUGGUGUAGCGGUGAAAUGCGUAGAUAUCCGGAGGAAUACCGGUGGCGAAGGCGGCAUCCUGGACCGAUAUUGACACUGAUGAGCGAAAGCCAGGGGAGCAAACGGG
RNAcentral lists this ribosomal RNA (254 nucleotides) under uncultured bacterium. RNAcentral's name for it is "partial 16S ribosomal RNA". It matches the Rfam family "Bacterial small subunit ribosomal RNA", at positions 524 to 776 of the family's 1533-position model. The record is from RNAcentral.